GGAUGGAUGUCUGAGCGGUUGAAAGAGUCGGUCUUGAAAACCAAAGUAUCGAUAGGAAUACCGGGGGUUCGAAUCCCUCUCCGUCUG
Molecule: non-coding RNA, 87 nt
Organism: Beta vulgaris subsp. vulgaris (sugar beet)
Lineage: Eukaryota; Viridiplantae; Streptophyta; Magnoliopsida; Caryophyllales; Amaranthaceae
Source: Rfam